RNAcentral lists this RNase P RNA (418 nucleotides) under Burkholderiaceae bacterium. RNAcentral describes it as "RNase P RNA component class A". It matches the Rfam family "Bacterial RNase P class A". From Rfam's summary of the family: Ribonuclease P (RNase P) is a ubiquitous endoribonuclease, found in archaea, bacteria and eukarya as well as chloroplasts and mitochondria. Its best characterised activity is the generation of mature 5'-ends of tRNAs by cleaving the 5'-leader elements of precursor-tRNAs. The record is from RNAcentral. Lineage: Bacteria; Pseudomonadati; Pseudomonadota; Betaproteobacteria; Burkholderiales; Burkholderiaceae.
GGAGCGGGUCGGACGAUCGCUGGCUGCGGCGCGCAGGCGCCGUCGCUGGAGGAAGGUCCGGACUCCACAGGGCAGGAUGCUGGCUAACCGCCAGGCGCAGCAAGCCGCAAGGCCCAAGGCGACGGAAAGUGGAACAGAAAGCACACCGCCCAAGCGGCGUCCGGUUCGCCGGCGCCGACGGCAAGGGUGAAAUGGUGAGGUAAGAGCUCACCGCGGACGUGGCGACACGGCCGGCACGCCAAACCCCAUCCGGAGCAACAUCGAAUAGGCACGCGCGCGGUCUUCCGGACCGCACAGGGCGGCCCGCCCGAGCGUGCGGGUAGAUGGCUCGAGCGGCCGGGCGACCGACCGCCCAGACGAAUGAUCGUCACGCCGGUCCGCCGGCGCACAGAAUCCGGCCUACAGACCCGCUCCACUU